CACACGACUCUCGGCAACGGAUAUCUCGGCUCUCGCAUCGAUGAAGAACGCAGCGAAAUGCGAUACCUGGUGUGAAUUGCAGAAUCCCGCGAACCAUCGAGUCUUUGAACGCAAGUUGCGCCCGAGGCCAUUCGGCCGAGGGCACGCCUGCCUGGGCGUCACG
RNAcentral lists this ribosomal RNA (163 nucleotides) under Deschampsia podophora. Its description in RNAcentral is "5.8S ribosomal RNA". It matches the Rfam family "5.8S ribosomal RNA". From Rfam's summary of the family: 5.8S ribosomal RNA (5.8S rRNA) is a component of the large subunit of the eukaryotic ribosome. It is transcribed by RNA polymerase I as part of the 45S precursor that also contains 18S and 28S rRNA. The record is from RNAcentral. Lineage: Eukaryota; Viridiplantae; Streptophyta; Magnoliopsida; Poales; Poaceae.